This 405-nucleotide ribosomal RNA is filed under the name uncultured bacterium. Its description in RNAcentral is "partial 16S ribosomal RNA". It matches the Rfam family "Bacterial small subunit ribosomal RNA", at positions 28 to 526 of the family's 1533-position model. The record is from RNAcentral.
AUUGAACGCUGGCGGCAGGCCUAACACAUGCAAGUCGAACGGAGCGGCGAACGGGUGAGUAACGCGUGAGUAACUGCCCCCCUCUCUGGGAUAACAGUUGGAAACGGCUGUUAAUACCGGAUAGUGGGGGGUGACUCGCGUCUUAUCAGCUUGUUGGUGGGGUAUUGGCUUACCACGGCGACGACGGGUAGCCGGCCUGAGAGGGCGACCGGCCACAUUGGGCUGAGAUACGGCCCAAACUCGUACGGGGGGCAGUAGUGGGGAAGAUUGUACAAUGGGGGAAACCCUGAUGAAGCAACGCCGGGUGCGGGAUGACGGCCUUCGGGUGGUAAACCGCUUUCAGCCAUGACGCGGUAGUGGCAGAAGAAGCACCGGCUAACUACGUGCCAGCAGCCGCGGUAAUAC